Molecule: ribosomal RNA, 909 nt
Filed under: uncultured bacterium
Lineage: Bacteria
Description: bacterial SSU rRNA
Rfam family: Bacterial small subunit ribosomal RNA
Source: RNAcentral
CUAGUCAUAUGGAUUGUGUCAGCAGCCGCGCGGUAAUACGGAGGAUCCAAGCGUUAUCCGGAAUCAUUGGGUUUAAAGGGUCCGUAGGUGGAUAAUUAAGUCAGAGGUGAAAUCCUGCAGCUCAACUGUAGAAUUGCCUUUGAAACUGGUUAUCUUGAGUCAUUAUGAAGUGGUUAGAAUGUGUAGUGUAACGGUGAAAUGCAUAGAUAUUACACAGAAUACCGAUUGCGAGGGCAGAUCACUAAUAAUGUACUGACACUGAUGGACGAAAGCGUGGGUAGCGAACAGGAUUAGAUACCCUGGUAGUCCACGCCGUAAACGAUGGUCACUAGCUGUGUGGAUUUCGAUCUGCGUGGCUAAGCGAAAGUGAUAAGUGACCCACCUGGGGAGUACGUUCGCAAGAAUGAAACUCAAAGGAAUUGACGGGGGCCCGCACAAGCGGUGGAUUAUGUGGUUUAAUUCGAAGUAACGCGCAGAACCUUACCUGGGCUUGAAAUCCCGAGAAGAUCGACCAAAAUUGAUUGUGCUCUUCGGAGAACUCGGUGACAGGCGCUGCAUGGCUGUCGUCAGCUCGUGUCGUGAGAUGUUGGGUUAAGUCUCGCAACGAGCGCAACCCCUAUCUUUAGUUGCCAGCAUUAAGUUGGGCACUCUAGAGAGACUGCCUGGGUUAACCAGGAGGAAGGUGGGGAUGACGUCAAGUCCUCAUGGCCCUUAUGUCCAGGGCUACACACGUAAUACAAUGGUGCAUACAAAGGGACGCGAACUGGUGACAGUAAGCAAAUCUCAAAAAGUGCAUCUCAGUCCGGAUUGGAGUCUGCAACUCGACUCCAUGAAGUUGGAAUCGCUAGUAAUCGCAGAUCAGCACGCUGCGGUGAAUACGUUCCCGGGCCUUGCACACACCGCCCGUCA